RNAcentral lists this ribosomal RNA (499 nucleotides) under uncultured bacterium. RNAcentral's name for it is "partial 16S ribosomal RNA". It matches the Rfam family "Bacterial small subunit ribosomal RNA", at positions 30 to 523 of the family's 1533-position model. The record is from RNAcentral.
AUUGAACGCUGGCGGAAUGCUUUACACAUGCAAGUCGAACGGCAGCACGGGGGCAACCCUGGUGGCGAGUGGCGAACGGGUGAGUAAUACAUCGGAACGUGCCCAGUCGUGGGGGAUAACGUAGCGAAAGUUACGCUAAUACCGCAUACGAUCUACGGAUGAAAGCGGGGGACCGUAAGGCCUCGCGCGAUUGGAGCGGCCGAUGUCAGAUUAGGUAGUUGGUGAGGUAAGGGCUCACCAAGCCGACGAUCUGUAGCUGGUCUGAGAGGACGACCAGCCACACUGGGACUGAGACACGGCCCAGACUCCUACGGGAGGCAGCAGUGGGGAAUUUUGGACAAUGGGCGCAAGCCUGAUCCAGCCAUUCCGCGUGCAGGACGAAGGCCUUCGGGUUGUAAACUGCUUUUGUACGGAACGAAAAGGCUCUGGUUAAUACCUGGGGCUCAUGACGGUACCGUAAGAAUAAGCACCGGCUAACUACGUGCCAGCCGCCGGGUAA